Molecule: unclassified non-coding RNA, 324 nt
Filed under: soil metagenome
Description: partial contains 5.8S ribosomal RNA, internal transcribed spacer 2, and large subunit ribosomal RNA
Rfam family: 5.8S ribosomal RNA (bases 1-120)
Source: RNAcentral
GAUGAAGAACGCAGCGAAAUGCGAUAAGUAAUGUGAAUUGCAGAAUUCAGUGAAUCAUCGAAUCUUUGAACGCACAUUGCGCCCUGUGGUAUUCCGCAGGGCAUGCCUGUUCGAGCGUCAUUUCAACCCUCAAGCCCCGCUUGGUGUUGGGCCCCGCCCGCUGUGGCCGGCCCUAAAGACAGUGGCGGCGCCGCCUGGCCCUCAGCGUAGUACAUCUCUCGCUCCAGGGUCCGGUGGCCGCCUGCCAGAACCCCCCAACUCUGUGGUUGACCUCGGAUCAGGUAGGGAUACCCGCUGAACUUAAGCAUAUCAAUAAGCGGAGGA